RNAcentral lists this unclassified non-coding RNA (377 nucleotides) under uncultured Chlamydiales bacterium. RNAcentral's name for it is "contains 16S-23S intergenic spacer region". Lineage: Bacteria; Pseudomonadati; Chlamydiota; Chlamydiia; Chlamydiales. The record is from RNAcentral.
UCCUGGUUAACCCAGGCAGUCUCGUUAGAGUUCCCAUCCGAAAUGCUGGCAACUAACGAUAAGGGUUGCGCUCGUUGCGGGACUUAACCCAACACCUCACGGCACGAGCUGACGACAGCCAUGCAGCACCUGUGUAUAUGUCCCGAAGGAAAACGCUAUCUCUAGCGCUGUCAUAUACAUGUCAAGCCUGGGUAAGGUUCUUCGCGUUGCAUCGAAUUAAACCACAUGCUCCACUGCUUGUGCGGGUCCCCGUCAAUUCUUUUGAGUUUUACCCUUGCGGGCGUACUCCCCAGGCGGCAUACUUAACGCGUUAGCUACGGCACAGCCGGGGUUGAGUCCGGCUACACCAAGUAUGCAUCGUUUACGGCUAGGACUAC